RNAcentral lists this transfer RNA (138 nucleotides) under Penicillium salamii. RNAcentral describes it as "tRNA-Undet". Lineage: Eukaryota; Fungi; Ascomycota; Eurotiomycetes; Eurotiales; Aspergillaceae. The record is from RNAcentral.
GCAGCGGUGGCGCAGUGGUAACGCGUGAGAUGUAAGGAUCCUCGACUUUUCAAUUCCCACGAACCAUUCACUAAUAAACUCCACAGUGCAACUCAGCAAUAUAUCUCAAGAUCCCGUGUUCGAACCACGGUCGCUGCU